Molecule: ribosomal RNA, 250 nt
Filed under: uncultured bacterium
Lineage: Bacteria
Description: partial 16S ribosomal RNA
Rfam family: Archaeal small subunit ribosomal RNA
Source: RNAcentral
UACCAGCACCCCGAGUGGUCGGGACGUUUAUUGGGCCUAAAGCAUCCGUAGCCGGUUCUACAAGUCUUCCGUUAAAUCCACUGCUUAACAGAUGGGCUGCGGAAGAUACUAUGGAGCUAGGAGGCGGGAGAGGCAAGCGGUACUCGAUGGGUAGGGGUAAAAUCCGUUGAUCCAUUGAAGACCACCAGUGGCGAAGGCGGCUUGCCAGAACGCGCUCGACGGUGAGGGAUGAAAGCUGGGGGAGCAAACC